ACUCCUACGGGAGGCAGCAGUGGGGAAUAUUGCACAAUGGGCGCAAGCCUGAUGCAGCCAUGCCGCGUGUAUGAAGAAAGGCCUUCGGGUUGUAAGUACUUUCAGCAGUGAGGAAGGUGGGUAUGUUAAUAGCAUAUUCAUUUUGACGUUUAGCUGCAGAAGAAGCACCGGCUAACUCCGUGCCAGCAGCCGCGGUAAUACGGAGGGUGCGAGCGUUAAAUCGGAAUUACUGGGCGUAAAGCGCAUGCAGGUGGUUUGUUAAGUCAGAAUGUGAAAGCCCGGGGCGUCAACCUCGGAAUUAGCAUUUGAAACUUGGCAAACUAGAGUACUGUANAGGGGGUAGAAG
Molecule: ribosomal RNA, 346 nt
Filed under: uncultured bacterium
Lineage: Bacteria
Description: bacterial SSU rRNA
Rfam family: Bacterial small subunit ribosomal RNA
Source: RNAcentral